Dalotia coriaria is the source of this 321-nucleotide long non-coding RNA. RefSeq lists it as uncharacterized. The record is from RefSeq and is a predicted model, not a curated record. The transcript has 2 exons. Lineage: Eukaryota; Metazoa; Arthropoda; Insecta; Coleoptera; Staphylinidae.
AUAUAUUAUUCAACAGUUUGAGAAUAUCCAUCGUAGUUCCAAAUGAAGGUGGUUUUUCAAUUCGUGGCUGCUUGCCUACUGAUCCAACUCGUCCUAGCGGUAAAACAGUCGAAUGAGUGCGAUGAACUUUGCCAGGAGUUUCCCACAGGUCAUAACAUAGCCUAUCCACCUGAUUGCACCAAAUUCUGUCUUUGUGGAAAUGAUGGAAACUUGUUAAAAGAUUGCCCUCCUGGACUAGAAUUUAAUCCUGAUCUGGAAGUAUGCGACUGGCCAAGUGGUUUUUGUUAGCAUUGACAGCAUUAAUAGAAAGUUUAAAAACCC